RNAcentral lists this long non-coding RNA (15853 nucleotides) under Gallus gallus (chicken). Lineage: Eukaryota; Metazoa; Chordata; Aves; Galliformes; Phasianidae. The record is from RNAcentral.
UCUGUUUCUUACAGGAAGAAAUCAUAGAAUUGUUGGAGUUGGAAGGGAGCCUUACUGGCCAUCUAGACCAACUCCUCUGCAAUGAACGGAGACACCUACAGAUCCAUCAGCCCCUGUCUAGAGACUGACAGGUCACUCUCAGUCUCCCCAGAGCCUACACUUCUCCAGGCUGAAAAGCCACUGCUCUUUCAGCCUGUUCAAGCAGUGGAGGUGUUCCAUCACUUAGAUCAAUUUUGUGGCCCUCGUCUGGGGCCACACUCCCUCAGAUCUAUGUCUCUCCUGUACUGAGGACUCCACAUCUGGACAGUACUCUCACAGCACAGAGCAGAGUGGCAGAAUCAUCUCCCUUGCCUUGCUGGCCACGCUUCUUUUUGUGCAGCCCAGGAUACGGUUGGCUUUCUGGGCUGCAGGGGCAUGUUGCUGGCUCGUGUCCAGCUGACAGUUAUAAAGAUUACCACAGUAAUGACAGAAACGGUAUGGAGGUGCAGUGAUCGGGAAGUUGAAGUCUGACAACUGGAGGGGCUUUCUUCCAUGAAUAACUAACGUACAGAGCCAGAGUGAGGCCACAGAUUGUAGAAACAAUUUGCUUUGCCAAUGAUCCUUUGAGGGGGAAGUUGUUCUGGCCCAUCUAAAUAGAACUCCUUUUAAUGCCUAAUAAAAUACAUACGCAUUUCAAGAUGAAACUUCAGUGUUAAAAGAUAUUUCAUUUAUUUAUACUUAUUUAAAUAUUUUCUCAUGACAUGUCUCAAAGCUUCUCCUUCACAGACUUAAGCAGAGGUAACAAAGCAGUGGUUCGAUUUUUGAUUGCUAGAAAUUGUAGAGGAACUUAUCUUUGCUAUUGCUGUGUGUGUGCAUAUAAUUAUUUGGCACUCUGUGAUGACUGUUCAGCCAGAUUUUACUGCAAACAAGGAUUGUUUUUUGUCACCGAGGCCAUUUCCUUCACAGCAGUCCCAGGUCCAGCUUAUGGCCUUAAAUCAUGGAUGUGUAACUAAACCACUGAAUUUAGAGAAGAAUAUAGGCUUUUUUUUUUCCACUAGAUUUCAAGAGCUCUCCUUGUUUCUUAUGUUCCAGGACCUGUGGUUGAGAAUGAUGGGCAUCACUUUCUCUCCAAUUUUAUCUUUAUGAGAAUAUCUAACAGGGAUGGGGCUCCAAAUUAAGCACGUGAUGGCUUGCGCUGUGGCUAAUUAUCUUUUCCAUUUGUUACCUAGUAGAAUUUUCUAACACUGGGAUUUGAAGUUUGUCAAUUUUCACUAUCUUUCCUCCUAAACUUGGACAUUUCUGCCAAGGCCAACAGUGAAACGAGCACAUUAAAAUAAUAAAUCUCCAGUGAACAGACUAAGUUAUUUACUUUGGAUGAACAAGACUACAUGUAAAACUGAGGAGUGUUUUGGGUUGAUUGGUUACUGGAGGUGGGAGUGCUUUAAGAGUCAAAUGCUUUUACAACAAGCUUUAGUUGUGGGAACAUUUGAGUCUGAAACGUGAAAGAAUGCAGACCUUUCAAAAUAUGGUAUGUGAGAAAAAUGUAUGAUUUAGUGUUUCCAUUUCCAUGGAGGAAAUAGCAGUACUUUGUUUCAACCAAAUGAUAAAUUUCCUUUAGUCAUAUGAUGAGGGAAAUAAAUACUUUCUAAUUUUUGUCAUAGCAGUUAAGAGAAAAGUUUAGGUAUCUUAAAAAAUAUCCUGCUAUAUAGAAGGACUUGGUUAUAUUAGUCAUUCAUCAGAGGAUUACAUUUUUCCUCUUCUAUAGAGAAAACUGCUCUGAAAAAUAAAUAGAAAAAACUGUUAAUCAGAACUUGAGGUGGGAUUCUGUGGUCAUUUGCUCUGUCAGACCAGUUGUAAACAUUACUACUACUUGGGCAAAACUAUGCUUGUUUGUUGAAUAAUUAUAACAAUGGGAUGGUAGUGCUUUGGUAAGACAGUGUUUUGGUAUAUGAGACUUUUGAAAGCAUGUGUUUUCUGAAAUGUAUGUUCUUCAGUAUGUCAUACAGCUUUCCAAUUGUGUAUUGUAGGGAAAUAUGGAAGGAAAAAUUUCAUGCUGCAUCUGGGUGGUACUUAGAGUUCUACAUGUAGGAUUGAUAGGGCUUUUGUAUGUCUUGGGAAAUAGCGUAGAGACAUAACUAGGUGCAAAAUUACAUGUGGCUAAACAUCAAUAAUAAUCAUUGCUACCUUUAUGCCUCUCGUCUAUUGUUUGUUUUUGUUGUUGUUGUUGUUACUUAAUCCUAAGAACAGGAAGGUUUUCUGAAACUGCAUGAGAUGUUAAAAGUUUGUAGGGUGGAAGUAAGCUGAAAUUGUAGAUUACUGAGCUACCCGAUGCUUAAGGUGGCUGAAUCUUAGGGUACUGCUCAAGAGUGGGAUCUACAGUGCUGAUCUCCUUAGAAAUGGAAAUAGUUAUUUGAGAGCUGAAAGAAGAUUCAUACUUGUUGUGACUCUGUCUGGAAUGAACAUGACUGACUUCUGGCAGCUUUCACUCAUGGCAUUGCACAACGGAAGGCUCAGUUCAGUUUGAGUUUGAGAGACUUAAUUAUGUGAUGUUGAAGCAGUUGUACUAUUUUCAGUGACACAACUUAAAACCUGCUUCCACAAAAUUAUACAUCAGUGGGAUGAUAUUGCAACUAAAGUCAAAGAUGUCCUUGUAUGUGUUGUGACAUUGUCAGAAUUCUAUUUGAUGGAGUCUGACAGAGGCGUGUGGUCUUGAAUUAGUAUCCUUUCAUAACAAACAUGUUGCAGGCCUCUUAAACGUAUGGAAAAACAUGAGAGGUAUUAUUGAAAUUUAAACCUUUAUUGCAUUUAUGAAUAAGCAUUCUUCAGUAAUAAUAUUUUUAGAAGUAUGCAGUUUGACAGGCUUUGAGCUACUGCAUAAAACUCUUCAUGAGCUGCUUCUUGGUCUACCUCUCAUUAUGUACCGUAAUUGUGUGGCCUGGCUUGCUUCCAGUAAAUUGCUUCUCUGGCCCUGUGGCAGUCUUACCACCAUCUCUUAUUCAACCUCUCUUCACAAGAAGAGUCCAAAAAAACAUGGUGAGGGGUGAGAUGACCAGUGGUUACCAUACACUCAUGGAGAACCCAGCUGCUCAGAUAAGUUGUGUAGUCCUGCAGGAGAAAUUUCUGUGCCUUGAAGAGAACAUGUACCAAUUACCCCUUUGGUAAUUCUAUUAAAAGAUGUCUUUUCAUAUGCACGCAGUUGUAUUUUAACCUUACAGACUAUCUUUGCUAAGUUACAUGCUUGUUGCAGAAGGCCUAGUGGCUUUGUAUUUUAGCUGGAGGAAAUGUCUAUUGAAUGUGUGUUGAAUUUGGAAAUCUGAUUUGGCUCAAUUAAAAUGUGAUUAAGCUUUCUGUCUCCAUUGUAGAAGCUGUUAGUGCUCUGGAGAAACAUUUAAUGUUGAAGGCUGGCCUGCUGGUUUUGGCUGAAAUAGAAAUAUGCAAUGCUCUGAGAAAUUCCAGGACUCCCACUAGGUCAAAAAUUUUCUCUCAACUGCAGCAUUUCAUCAAGUUCCCCUAGUAACGUGUCUCAGUGUAUCACAAUCAUGGUUGCUUGGAAAUCCACCAACUCUGCAACGAGCUGAGAAUAUUUAUUGCAAGUGCUAGAUGGCAUUCUCUUAGCAGAGAUAUCUGGUUAGUUAUUGCCAUACGUCCCAGUUUCAGAGUGAAAUUGUUCCAUUUGUCUUACUGCAUGUUUUGAGCUUCGGAUUAGACAAAUUCAGUUAUAUGAGUAUUUAUCUGGUGUAAUUAUAUUAAUUACAUUAUUAUUAAUCAACUUUACCAAUCUGACCAUUUAAAUCUGAGCUAAAUCACAAGUUGACAAUACUUUGAGAAGCUCCUGGUGUAAUUCAAAACAUUGUGCAGAUGUCCAAAAUCCCUGCGUUAGUCACCUUGUUAUAGCCAGACUAAUUGGGAACUCUGUGAUACCGGCUUGUUUCAGUACAUCUAAUUUCUACAAGACCCAUUUCAAGCUGAUCUUUUUAUGGAAUGUGUUUUUUUUUUUUCCAGGUAAAAAUAAAGAAGGCUUUACUUAAUGUUUGUGGUGCACCUGUUCUCUGCUCUAAAACUGGCUGACAGCGUAGCUGAAAUCUCAGAGCAGACAUUUCCUGGCUUUGGUGCAGUGUUUUCGAGCAAGCUGCUAAAAGUGGUCUAGCAAGUUGUUAUUUCAGGAAUCGUUUUCAACUGGAGGAACAAUGAGAUUUGCAUAAAGAACCAAGAAACUCUUUUGUUACCACUCUGGUCUAAAGAUGUCAAUAACGUAGUAAGUCUGUAGGAAAAUGAGCCAGUUACUUUCCAUGGAGGCAGGGUAUGUUUAGUAUUUUUUGACUCUGAUGUGCUGGGUCUCCUAGACCCCUUAUUCUAGGAUGCACGUUUCUAGACAAUUUCAGGAGCCUUCGCAGUGACCUGAUGUACAGUUUCUUCGUGAGAAACUUGGGCAGCAGAGGUCGUAUAUUCCAUACUGUGAGCCUCCCAGCAUCAUCUCCGUGUGGUCCCAUGUGGUAAAGGGUUCUCAGUUUUCUUUUCAAUACCCUGCCUAUUCUGUCCUCAUAGAAGCACUUAUGAUAGUGUUCAGAGAUGGUUUUUGACUUCAUGGCUUCUUAAAAAAUAAAAAUAUAAAAGGUCCUAAAUGCAGCUAAUGGGACAUCAGUAAAUAUUAGCUGGGGCCUAAUUUCUGAAAACAUUUGGGCAUCUUGGGCCUAUUUAGUUCCUGAGACCUGUUAAAUCCCAUGUGAAAUAAACACCAUGUGAGAGGUGUUGUUGUGGAACUCAUGCAAAGGGAACUGCCAGAGGUGGUGCCAUGAGGAUCUGCGAGACAAGGAGUGGGCUGCAGGGCUCACGGCUCUACCCAGUGCUAUAACCACUAGAGGACACUGCCUCCAUUGUUACUGGGGAAAUUAAUCAUUACACGUUUAAAACUGCCAAAUUGCAGAGGUCUUCCUUCUGCUGACUUAACUUAAUCUCAGAUACUAUUUAUUUAUUUGUUUUGUGCCCCAACUAUUUACAGUGGUGCCAUAUGCUCAGGUUCUACUUUAAGUGCUGAAUCAAUGCCCAGAGAAAGGCAGCUCUGCUGCUCUUCCCCAGGUGAAAACAAAUGCCUUGUCUUAUUGCUCGGUGUCUGAGAAGGCAGAGCCACACAGCAGACGACUGUGAGUUGCUGAGCCCACUCAUCUGUGAGCAGUCAGAUCCUACUUAUUGUUAUGACCCAUGCUGGGUUCCCUAAGCCUUUGUUCUGAGGGCUGCCACCAAGGCCUGCCUGGGAAGGUGGGCUGCUGCUCAGACCCUGCCUCAAGGGCAGCUCCAUGGCAUCACCCCCAGGCAGUGGGUGAGAGGGAAUGUGAAGGCCAUGCACCUGUGGGACUCCUCGUGAAGGUCAGGCUGUGGAUGGCAGAGGUGGGAUGAUGGCCUCACGCUUCAUCAGCCCAUGGUGUUGGUGUCUGGCAGAGGCACAGCACCACCACGUGUGUGAUGCCUGGCCUUUUGUGUGUGUCCAGCUUGUGGAGGCACUGGGGGCACAGCUUCACUUCCUUUGGGAAGGAAGAAGGUGCAAUUUCUUUCCUUCUGUCUUCACCUCAGACAACUCUAACAGCUUCCAAGCUAGGCUGUCUGGCAAACAGCGUUUUUUUUUCUGUAUUUGGAGCCAAAUGGGAAUACAGAGACAUUUCAGGGAAAACUGACAGGAUCUGCUGCUCCUUUCAUUGACUCCAGUAAUUAUAAACUGAUCCCAUGGUAGCAGCAGGACUGCAUCUAGACUUUAAAUACCGUGAUUACAUUCUCAGUACUGCUCCAACAAUGAGGUAUAUCUUGAAAAGCAGUAAAUAUUCUUGUGUUCAAUCCUGCAGCUCAUUCCUGUUGUACCACGAACAUACUGAGUUUGUACGUCUUUCCUCAUGAAUCAGAUAAAUGCAUCUCCUCCACAAGCUGCCUAUUUUCUUGUAUACUGUGCAUCACUUCCCCUGAAAAUUGGAAAGAGGUAAUUUGCUGGUUAAAGUACAGAGCUGGCUCCGUUAUGUCGUCAUGAAUCACUGAGAUGUCUAAGAUUGAAUUCAUCUCUGAUAAAGUGGUGUUACAGCAGCGAGGAAAUAUGAUAGUCUGGAAGUAUUCAUCAGUCAAUUCCUAUGCUGUGUCAAUACUGGUAUGCCCAAGUGCAUUGUAUAGAAACUGCUUACAUUUAUCUGCAGUGCAUCUUGCUGAUUUCCAGCAUCUCCCUCUGUACAAGAUCUCCAAAAUGUUCUCUUUAUGUGGAAAAUUUUGUCUUUUAUUAAUAAUGGUGAUGCAAAGAACCUAAAAGAGGAGCCUAGAAGGAAAAAAUAGACUUUUCUCCUCUGUAAGUGACUCUUACAGUCCAGAUGUGCAUAUGGAGCUUGAUCGGUUCUUUACAGCUGGAGGCCCAAACCAGCUGCAUAAGCAAUGAAAAAUGUAAAUAGUUUGUGCUUACAUUAUUAGGAGAGCACUUGGGUUUGUCUUAAAGACUUGCUAUAGGACUGCAUCAAAUUCUCUUCUGUGUUGCAUCAAAUAAUGUGUUUUUUUUGCUGUGAGGUCAGUACUCUCUGCAGUUUGACCUCUAGUUGUACCUCCCAGGCCUGUUGCUCACACAAACUGAUCUUUUUCUCUUGAAUCAGCUCUUCUCUCUGGGGGUGUCACUUCCAGAGUUAGCACAGCCCCCAGCUGCUAAUACGAUCUCUGCAGUGCGACUAAUAUGUAUUGCUGUAUCUUCUUCCAUUUCAGUGGGGCUGAUGUUAAAGGAGUGAACCUGAGAGCAGCAAACUCAGUGAAAUCUGUGACGAAAGCAGCCAUAAAUGAAUGUUUGUUAGGUUCUGUAUAUGUUGAUAGAAUUAAUAAUAAAAUCAUAGAAAAGAAGUCAGUAAACAGGCCAGCUCAGUACAACAGGGUAGAUGAGCUGCGAGACCUCAGCAUGCCCAGCAGAACACCCAGUAAGGAGAUGUUGGCUGCACUGUGGGGUGGCAGACUGGGCUGCUGGGGGUUGAGCCCUGGCCCGGUACCUGACACACCUGCAGAGAGCCCUGGUGGAGAAAGGAUGGGCCUUCAUGGGGAUCUGUUGCUUUCUGCUGUCAAAGCAGUCCUGCUGCUCAUGGUGAUUAAUUUUCUGUAUCAUUUAGAGGGCUCUUCUUCCCCUUUGGGUCAAGGACAACUGUAAUUCUCUCCAGGACUGUGAUUGCCUUGUGUGUCUCACCAAGGGAUGCCCGUGUGCUGCCAGGGAGCAAACCAGAUCCAUGCAGUGUGUUGAGUGAAAGCCAGGUAUGCUAUAUAUGGCAAAAAGUUAUAAAGCAAUUUUUAAUAAUCUUGUUAUUUACAAGCAGAAUUUUUAUUGUACUUGCUAUUGAAAUCAUGGGAUGUGUUUCUCAACUGUUGUGCUAUUAUCAGCCAUUUCAUAGAAUAGAAUGGGGUGGGUUGGAAGGGACCUCGGGAUCAUCAAGUUCCAACCAUCAGUAAGCAUGCAACCUCACCAAGAGCACAUCAGAGACUCAGGUUUGGGUAUACGCUACUGGAUUCUGCUUAAACUUUGCUGUCUGUCAAAUAAAUGUUGCUGACAGCUGAGCCAAGCCUCCUGCCCCACCUGGUGCCUGCCCUUGAUGGUGCUGUGCUGCGUCUUCAGCUUCCAGCACUGCUGCUGACUCCUCUCUUGUUUUGUCCUGAGAUCAAUAAAAGCUUCCGCUCAUGAAGGACUUGAGCCUCAAUGAGUGAAUAGAUGCAAAGUGGCCCAACCCACGAGUCAAGCUUUUUGUCUCUCUCCAGCAGUAGGACCGUAUGUUGGAUGCCCUUGGCUUCAAGCCCAAGGGCUGUAGGUGCUCAGGGAGCUCAGCAGGGGAGCAGGGUGGGCAAACCAGCAGGACCUGAGCCAGGUGCUUCGGAAGAGCUGCUGGAGAAAGUACUAACAUUUCACUCCUGACAGCUUCGUACCUGGAGCCAGAUCUUAGCGUGGUGUAACCUCUGCUGCCAAGGAUUUUGGCAUUGAUUUGGCGUAUGGGAGUAAUUCAGAGUAGGUGGAGAUGGUGAGAGGAAUGAACCCAGAUGAAUUUUGAAAUACUUUUCAGUGAAAUGUUGCAAUAGAGCCAGAUGAUCUACAGGGAUCAAGCUCUGAUGAUUAAAUUCCACGUUUAAAUAAAUAAACAUAUUAGAGUCCUUCAGCACUAAAUCACAGUGAUGUUAUAUUAGGCCCUGAAAAGACGAUUGAAAGAUUACUCAUUUAGCAAUAUUCUAGAAAUUAUUUUAUGUGCCUGCCUUUAAUAUCCUCUGACAUGUACUUUUUAAGUGAUUUAUCCGUGCAUUCACAGACAUCAUCUUUGCUUGGAAUACAGCAGAACCAGGUCUUUGAUAUUUAGAUCCACAUAAUUGUUCUUGGAAUUUUUUCUCUGGAUGAAGCUUUUGGCACUGAUGAUGCUUUAUGUGAAACAACCCUGUAUCUGGAUCUCAUUCAUUACAGAUCUUGAAAAGAAAUGUCUUGGCUUUCAAACAGGGACAUGGAACUCUUUAAGUGAUGGAUUUGAACUAUAAAUGUGCAUGUACAUUUCAAUAUACAUUCCUUAAAUACGUAGAGCUUAUGUAAGGAUCAGAUCUGUAUAUUAUAGGUAAGUGUAAAUUCUAAUAUUUUGCAGUCAAUGGAAUAGGCACCUUUAUAUUAAGGGUUUGUAUAGGGUAAUAUUUGAGGAAUAAAUAUAUUUCCUUGACUUCUGUUUCGGUUAUGAAUACAAAUCAAAAGUGUUUCUGUACAUGCAGUUCUGUCAGCUUGUUUCUGCUGUUUAUCCUGCUUUGUACUGGGGUGUUCAGUGGUUGUCCUACAGGGAGUGCUGGGCUCCUACAGGGAGCUGGGAUCCUUGGGAUCCGGGCACCUGGGCUGAGAGCCGUGCAAAUGUAAAGCACAACAGCCUCUGUGCCUGUUUAUAAAUUACUACAAUGCAGCAGCAGUGUAAUAGAUUUUCUGUCUCUGAUCUGGAUGCUUCUAAUUCUCGAAAGGUGUUUAUGAGCUGUGACUCAUCCCACUGCACAGCAGCGUAACUACUUGUAGUGUGUAGCAUUUAAGUCAUCCAUCUAUCGCUUCAGGUUCAGGUUUAUCACUGCAGUGGGAGGGUGGUUCCUGGAGCCCCCAGUGUGGAUAUGCUGUUGGGUGGAUGGAGUGCAGUACAGGGUUGUACUAAAGCAAUGCAGCUUAUAUGAGCAGAGCCUGGCAAUUCCAACUCAGAACUUUUUAUGCAGGCUUUUGUCUCAGGCUGACCUACUGUGGCAUCAGCACUUAAGGACAAGAAGUGAUUUUAGUCUCAUCUCUGUGCUGCCUAACGCCUGGCCUCUGCUGAGUGUACCAUGACUGAAGCCAGUGGUGGUCAUGUGUUUGCUUCAGACUGUCAUAAAUUGCCUUUAUUAAUGGCAGAUUAUAUAAAUUUCAGCCAAAUCUUUAUCAGCACUUAGGCCAGACACCAGAUAAACAGUUGGCCUCAGCCCUGGCCUCUAAUAAAACUGUACAUGAAACUGGAUCUCAGCUUUGCUCUUUGAGCACAUGCUUAAGCAGUGAGCUCGUUGCUCAGUGCUGUAAGCUGGCAGUGCUCCUCAGCCUCACUGCCCUGGCUCUCCUGAGCACUACAGUUGGGGUUGCACCACACUUCUUUACACCCCCAGGGAUUGGCUGUGCCCCACAUUGCACAUUUUGAGGCAAGCUUCUCUCAACAUCUGUUCUUUGAGUUCCCUGCACCUGACCAAAGGCACCAGGAGAAAUCUCCUACAGUGGAGAAGUGAUUUCUAGCUGUGCUGUGGUCACUCUGGUGGGGCUUUGCCCAGCUACGUGUGCCAGCCUUGGGGUGUGGCAGCCAGAGCCCUGAUGGCACACAUGGCACAGUGCUGUGGGGUUGCACUGCAGAGCUCUGAGCUCUUGCCUUUAUAUACUGUUUUUCUAAUAUAUAUAUAUUUUUCGAGUCUUUGAAAUACUUUUUGACAUCUGCUCUUUAUUACAUAACAAUAUAGCUGUCCUUUUAGGACAAGAGAUUUUUCAUUAUCCAUUUCAAAGUUAACAAUUGUGUUUCAAAACACCCAUGAUAGCUGGGAGGGAUUUGUUUCAGGUGAUUUGGCAAUGUGGUUGAGUCCAACUACAGCAUUGUUUUCUGUUCCAUGUCUGUUUUACCUUGGUUGCAACUAAGCAGCUUUCUAUCAGAGUUCCUGGAUUUGCUUUUAUUGAAGAAAUUCUUUGACUUAUCCUGGAUGGAUGAUGUGCAACUGGGAGGGAACCCAAACCGUGCAGCAUGGGUGUACUGAGCACAUCUGCACAAGGGUUGUGUUAGGACCUUGUUGGGGAUUUUCUCCUUUCUGAUUAAGGUGUCACAGACACUUCAAUUUUUUUACACCCAAGUGAAAAACCUAUCUAAGCUUUGAAGAAAUGCCAGGUAUUAUGUGAAAAGUUUUAAAACAGAGACAUGUAGCACCAAAAACUUUGACCUCUCUUUCCUCCUUUUGUAUCACGCAACAUCAGUUGUGCUUCUUCCUCUGAAAUGCCAGAGCUGAGCAUAGAACCUGGUCUGUGUCCCAAAAGGAUAUAACAAAGGCAAGGCAAAGGAUAUGCUGUCUGCAAUGGUAAGAGUGCAAAAGCACUUCGACUUAUGUCCUGAGCAACUACCAUGGCACCACCUCAGUGUUGCAUCCAGGAUGUGCUACGGGUACCUGUCCCCUUGCUCCUGCACUGCUCUGACAGGCAGAGGAGCCCUGUGCUGCUCAGGGCUGUGUGAGCAAGAAGCCUUGCUGCUGCAAAUAGGGUGGGGGUUUCUCUUUGUCCUUGGCUUGGGUUUGCUUGUUUGUCUUAAGAAAAUGAUUAAGCUUUUAAUGUAUAAGGAAAGGGAAAUGUUUCCUACAGAAAAUGCUAAUGAGCUGAGCGUUUCAUUUGUUUCUGGAAAUUUGUAGUUCUUUAAUUUUAUGUAUGUAAGGGAAUUUUUCUUAUCUCUGGGACAGUUGGAGGACAUUUCAACCUUAAAAUAUGAGUUUCCUUUUUAGCGAUGUUUAACACAUAUUGAAAAGAAAAAGGCCAGGCUGUAUGUAUGAACAGCAAUGUCAUGCCCUGAAGCACACAUCCCCUUUUGACCACGUGAGUCAGUCCAUGUGCAGCUGAGAAGGUAACACAGGAUUUUCUGUACUUGACGCCUUUUGCAGAUGUGGUGCUGGGGCUCCCAGCUCAGCCUGCCAUCUCUUUGGUCGAGAAAAAGAAAUCAUGGGAACAAAAAGAUGUUCCUAUGUAGGAGGUUUGUUCCAUUCCAGAUAGCAGCGUCAUGAGGCUGAAGCUGGGGAUGUGCUGUGGGCUGCUCUUCUGCGAUACAGGAAAACAGGCAAGGUGAGCCUUCUGAAAACUGGCAUUAACUGGAGAUGCACAGCUGACUCAGCUCCCUUGCUGAAAACACCCAGUGAGUUUGACCCUUCUUGUCUUUUCCAGUGUACAGAACAUGUCUGAGGAACAAAGGAAGCUGCUGCCCUCAUAGGGGUGUACUUUGGUUGCAAUGAAUGUGACUUCUUCAUCUCUGUCCAACGUAUUUUGAUCAGAUGAGAGACAGUGUGUCCCUGGGCUUUGUGCUGCUCAGGGCUGCCAUGCAGUGCUCUCAAAAUACCCUGGGGUUAUCUCCCAAGAUAAGGAGCUUUGUAUUGUGCUCCUCAGCUGGGCUACCACCCUCUGCUUGCUCUGAUCUGCUCCCUUAAGAAUUCUGGUGUCACAACCCUAGCACACUGGAUGGAGAAAAUAAGAGUGCUUUGUAUUCUAAAUUUACAACACAGCAGGGUGCAGCCGGCUUUAAGCAGGACAGAGACCAGAACAGCAAGGCCGCAAGGCAACUGAGUUUGACCUGCUCUUGAUGGCCAAAUGCUACUUGCUCUAUUUAACCAUUGUGACUGCUGCAGACGUGGAGCAAAGCAGCAGCUCUGCAUGAGUCCCGGCCCACCAGCAGCACUCCUGGCUCCAGCUGGCAGUGCCUCACUGUGAGGCGCAUUCUUGUUCAGCCUGCAAGGGCACAGGAGCUCGCUGCCCUGCUUGUGCCUUGCCAGGUGUUAUUUCUGAUCCCUGUGCACACAGCUCCAUUGCAGGGUGGUACAGCUAUCCUAGAAGUGAUGGGUUACCUGCAGGAAGGGCCCUCCUUCAGGCUGCUUUUUUCCAUCAGUAGUUUCCCUGUUCAGAUUGAGAACGUUUUGCUGUAGUUGGCUCCGAAUGCCGGGCACGCAGCAAUAUCACUUUAGACCUAAUCAAAAAUCUUAAAAACGAGAGUUAUCGUGGGGCUUUGCAUGGCUCCAGAGUGAGAUCUACAGGCUGUGGUGGUGUAUCUUGCUGCCUUUAAAGAUUAUAGUGCUUCUCCUCUUUCAAAGGAUGGCAGUUCACAAAAAUCCUUCAGAUAGCGUUGCAAUCUGAAGAAACAGUUCUACAGUUCGAGUUGUUAGCAUAUUUGUAUUAAGUAACUUGUUCUUACGACCAUGAGAACAUAGUGUGUUUGCUUUUCCUCCAGGGUAAAAGCAUAGUUUCGUUUCUGGAGAACAGAGCUCUGUCAGACCUGCUGCUUGCAAGAUGUGGAAAGGAGGGAGGGAGAAAGAUUUGCCAUUGACUAAUUUAAGGGGUCUUCUAAUUGUCUCCAACAUUUAAACAGGCUUCUCUUCAUACAUCUAUUAGGCCCUUUUCUGUGCUAAAUGGCUCCAUUAAAUGGUUUUCCAGGUCUUAUGCUGGCCAGACAGCUACUAAAGUCAAUGGGAGUUUAGCCUCUGAAAGAAAUGGAGCAUCAGUUCUUCCGCCAGGUGAAAUAUAUCAUUCAACAAAAGCUAAACCCUUAUUCAGAGAAUCUAACAAGCUAACGUAAACAAGGGCACAAAGCUUUUCAAAUCCUGCUCAGCAAUUUUUGCAGAAGUAAUGUCUUUUACAGCACUAGAGCAAGUUCCAUAGGAAAGCAAGCUGGGAAUGCAUGUGGGCAGCUGCCUCCGCUGGGAGGUAGGGCUGGGGCUGCCAUAGCCGUGGGAGCAACACCAGAGUGAUUUGAUUAGAAGAUGCCAUUGGGCUGCUGUCCUGCCCCCAGCUGUGAAGGGUGCGAGGAUGCUGGUUCCGGGCAGGGCGUGCAGAUGUGUAAUGGGGAGAAAAUUCCCAUCCAUGUGUGACUUCUGCAAUGUGAAUCACAUGGAGCAGCCCACGGUUGGCUAACGUAAGUAGCGCGUGCUCACAUUCCCAUCGGGUUGCUUGCUUUUCGUCUGCCUCUAUCAAAACAGGUGUAAGAGUAGAUAUAGAAAAAGAUUUUUUCUAUUGCUUUAGAAGACAAGAAUGUGCUGUGUCGGAGAGGCAUUCAAGGUCAUGCUGAAUGGACUCUGAGCAUCCUGACUGAGCUGCAGAUGUCCUUGGUCGUUGCAGAGGAGUUGGACUAGAUGUCCUUUAAGGGUCCCUUCCAGCUCAAAUGAUUCUGUGGUUCUGUCUUUUAGUUGCUUUCUAUGAUUCUAUGAAAGGCAGACUUCCACAAAUGAAUAGUUGCUAAAGGCAAAUGACAGUAUGUCCUCUUCAGCUAACACCUGAAGCAUGUUGUUCGCCCAUGGAUAAGCUGGGCUCCUGUCUGUCUGCAUGUCCUUCUCCCCUCCUCUGCUCCUGAGAAGGGGAUGGCUGGCACAGCAAGGAAAACUGGUGUUCUGAAGUGAGUAUGUCUGUUAGAUCCACUAGUAGAGGCGUCCCCUCAUUGCUGUCUCACUGAGCGGCACCUCUGGAUCUUCUCUAUGGCCUGUGCUGCUCCCAUGUGUUGCUGAACCCAACAGCAGCCUGUAAACCACAGCUGCUGCUAUGCUCGGGACUUCCUCUGUGCAGAACAUACCACAGUAUGAUUAUCCUCUUCACUCAUCCUGUUCCUGUGUUGUUUUUUGCUACACUGCCCACAGCAUGAUAGGGAGAGACCAUCCUGCUGCUCUCCAGGUGCUGGGGCCAGGCCUGGGGCAGGGCAGGCUGAGGGAAAGGAGGGCAGUGAGGAGCGGCUAUGGCUUUAGAGGUGAGUUGUAGGGUGAAUGUGCCCCUUCAGCUUGUGUCUCCUUGCUGGCAGGGUGAUUCACAUCAGUGCUCAACCACGGGCUUACUGAGCUUCACAGAACAUUUGCUAUUUAAGAGGGAUGGAAGGCUGAAUGAAAAGCUGAGUCAGGAUUUAAAGAAGUAUACAUGUGCUCCUUCUCUUUAUCGCCUACGGAUUGGUCAGAAAGUGAAUUCCUCAAGCACAAAGGUUUCUACUCCUCUCCAGGAGAAGCCUAAUUCACUGUACCAGAAAGAUGUUCACUUAAAACGCUGCUGAUGUUCUCACACUGCCAUUCAUUAGUAGAGAUGGGCUGGUUUCUUCCUAUUUGUUUGAUUUUUAUUUGGAAACAGUAAGAGGAAAAAUGUGCCCACUGUGAACAUUUGGUUCACACAGGUCUGUGUAUUAUUUCAGCUGGAAAAGUGCAUUAUGAAUUCACAGUGGCUCUCCCAGCUGAAAAUCGGCACUGGUGUCUGUGCCCCAUGAAUCAGGAGCUGGCAUCCUUUCUGCAGGAAGCACCACAUUGAGUGGCUGGGUAUAUUGUGUUUGUUUGCUGAUUUUUUUUUUUUUUUUUACUGACUGCAAUAGGAGCGGCCACCCAGUGUGCUGGGCAGCCUCGGCAAGCUUUUAACAACGUGUGAAACAGAUUUGCUUAUUCCCUGAAUCAAAUCAAACAAAGCAGUGAUCCCAUAACCACGCUUUUGUAAAAGCUCGUAAGUGGUGUUUAGAGAUGGGCACUGUGAAGAGAUCAGUGCUGUUAGCCAGCUCCAGCACCUCGGCUUUCUGCUCUCUCAUCUGGGUCUCUCUGCCUGUCUCUGGUGCUGGUUUCUCUCCUUAGGACUGUGCUCUGCAUUGCUCCUGGUGGCACAGAAGGACGGUGUGUGCCAUGGGAAUGCUGCAGGGUUUCUGCAGCCCCCAGUUUUCCCGGUGACAGCACAAGCAGCAGCAAUUUGGCUGGGCUGGGAUGCAGGCACAGGAUGCUGUGGCACUGCUUUGAGGUCCCACCGUGCUGUUUUUGUGAGGAGUCAAAAGAAUCCAAGUGUGCUUGAGGCUGGGUCAGAGAUCUGCUUGCUUCUCUCAGGAGUAUGGAGGGGUUUUGCGUGGGAGAAAGAAAAAGGGUCACAGCCUCCACAGCUCUCUCUCAGCUCCUGGAGAAGGAAGAGGGAAAUAAGAAUGAGAAGAAGCCCAAUAAACUACCUACCUUUUAAUUUCUCUCUUCUGUAUAAAAAGCUUAACCCAAUGUCUGCUGUGUUCUCCACCUCCACUGUCCACUGUGCCUCGGUAAGUGGAAGGGCUACAGUGGGUGUGCAGACUGCAGGAGCCCACAGGGCGUUCCCUGGGGAUGAGGACAGAAGAGCCUGUGACUUCAGAGGAGGUGAGGGAUAGAAGAAGGGGUGAGGAGUGCUGGUGUGUUGGCUGUGGAGUGAGGGAGAGGAGCCAAGAGGUGAGAUCGAUGGCUGGUGGCUGCCUGCAGGUGGGUGGUGGGCAGGGGACACCUGCAGCUCUGAAGGACCGGGUGUCCCCUUGCUGUUGGGCAGCUGGUCCCAAAGGUUUGUUUUUGCUCCUGCCAAAGGGCAGACAUGGUUUGAGUUGAGACACCUGGCGCAGGUACCAGGAAUGGCAUCAUCAGAGAAAAAUGGAAGGCAGUACGAAAAAUUGCCUAAAUAUUUCCAUAUGUUUCCAGUAGGUUUUGCAGGCCAUUCUGAGCACUACGCUUAUGGACGUGGUUAUGCUGUUCCCAGACACUGACCUGACUGGAGCAGCGGGAGCUGAACACGCCUGCAAGUCUCUAGCUGCCUUCUGGCCACAGUGUGGGUGUCUGGGAAGGCUGCAGCUGCAGCAGAAGUGGAAGCACAUGGGAAAAUGACUCACCUCCCAGGGGCUAG